UCCUACGGGAGGCAGCAGUGGGGAAUAUUGGACAAUGGGCGAAAGCCUGAUCCAGCAAUGCCGCGUGAGUGAUGAAGGCCUUAGGGUUGUAAAGCUCUUUUACCAGGGAUGAUAAUGACAGUACCUGGAGAAUAAGCUCCGGCUAACUCCGUGCCAGCAGCCGCGGUAAU
This 170-nucleotide ribosomal RNA is filed under the name uncultured bacterium. RNAcentral describes it as "partial 16S ribosomal RNA". It matches the Rfam family "Bacterial small subunit ribosomal RNA", at positions 337 to 524 of the family's 1533-position model. RNAcentral also lists the same sequence under 1 other name. The record is from RNAcentral.